Long non-coding RNA from Coffea eugenioides, 260 nucleotides. RefSeq lists it as uncharacterized. The transcript is spliced from 4 exons. The record is from RefSeq and is a predicted model, not a curated record. NCBI's taxonomy places the organism in Eukaryota, Viridiplantae, Streptophyta, Magnoliopsida, Gentianales, Rubiaceae.
AAGAAAAAAAGAUUUAACUUUUCAAGAUUGAGGAACAUCACAAGGAAAUGCUAAAGGGAGGAGAAAAAGAUUUAGCUUUUCAGCUAUUGCCUUCUCAACAUGAAUUGUUAUGCAUCUGAAUCAUAUAUGAAGCUGGGAGGUUCAGUUUGAAGUACUCUUGAGGUUAUUCUUCUAGAAGCUAUGGAUGUUGAAGAAAAGGCAAACAAUUAUCUAAAGGAAGAAAUAGUUGAAAGAGAUCAAUCAAUAUUGCUUCAAUUUUU